AGAUAAUAAGAUGCGAGUAUGACGGAAAAAAAAAUAAGAAAGAAAAACGAUAAAACAGAUCCAGAUUUGGUUUCCUCUCUCGUUCUCUUCCUCUCGUGCAGACACACAGAGGACCUCAUUCCCUUGUCAUCUUCCUCCGUCUUCCUCUUAGGGGUGGGCUAAGACAUUUGGAUACUGGCCAACAUAAACCCUAACUUUCUCUUCCUGUGGAUUGAAGUUGGCUGCGUUUGAGUGUUCGCAGCACGAGCACCGAAAGUGACUCUGCAGUGCAUCCGUAAUCAAUCUCAAAACACCUGCAAGUAACAUUAGCUACUGCUUUCAACACAUGCACAAGCACAAACACAGAUAGAGAGAGCAGCAUAAACACAAACACAGCUAGAGCCUUGGGACUAAAUGCUUUCUUGGGGGUGGGUGAGUGGGAUGGAAGAGGUUGGCAACUAGUGAGCAUGAGCCACUGUAGGAGUCUUCUAGAUCUUUACAGACAUGGUUGGGGCUUCUUUGCUUCGCUUUAUCAGAGGUAAAGAGUACAGAGUUCAACAUGUGAUGAUGUGAAGGAAAAAAAGCCCAACCCUUCAAUUUAUCUUGCAGCCGCCAAGGUAUUUCAAAGGUUCUGAGCUUCUUGUUGAUUUACAAGAUUAUGACUAUUCUUUGGACUUGUGGAAUCUUGGUUGUAUGUUUCCUGGAAUGAUGGCAAGGAGGUUCAUAAUUUGAUACCAUGUCAAGAAUUGAACUGCUGUCUUGUGAUGCUUAUGCAUGAGCCUUGUUCUAUACAAAUAUUUAGUAAGAAGCCAUUUUUUUAUGGACGUGAUAACUAUGAUCAACUAGUGAAAAUAGCAAAGGAGGCUUGCAACAACACUAGAGUAAUUGGUUCGUGAAGUGGAUCGAGGAAGAUUCCUGCAAAGUUUAUCUUGAAGUAGAGCAAAAUAACUAACUUGUAAAACUCAAGUAUCUUGUAAACUUUGGUAGAAGCUUCAUUCAUGAGGAAAAUUAAAAUGUAACAUUUCCUUUUAUGUUAGGGUUUAGGGUUUAGGUGAAGGUUUUAUGUCCCCCUCGCAGUACAAUCUUCUUCAUAAAAAAAAAUAAAUAAAUAAAAAAGCUUUAUUCCUUUUUGUAUA
Long non-coding RNA from Rosa rugosa (rugosa rose), 1115 nucleotides. RefSeq lists it as uncharacterized. The record is from RefSeq and is a predicted model, not a curated record. The transcript has 9 exons. Lineage: Eukaryota; Viridiplantae; Streptophyta; Magnoliopsida; Rosales; Rosaceae.